AGGUGUGGAGGAGUACAGAACACACAAGGGAAACAGAGCAACAGAAAACCCAAAACCCAGAAAAUACUAACUCUCAACGUAACCUACACUAACCCAUCCAAGAAUACCCACGAACACAAACCCAAGUACACAACAAGCAAAACAUAUGACCAGAAGGACUCAACAGAAAUGCAAAACAAGGGACCCCAAAGAACAAAAAGACACAAGUCCAAAAAACACUAAAAGGCCAGACAGGAUGUGACAAAGUUACUUUCUAUCUGACACAUCAUGUUUGCAUCAGAGGAUUUCUUCUUUUCUUCUUUCUUUCUUUUUAUCUUUCUCACCACUUAUUUGGUGUUUACUGUCCACAUCAAGUAGCAAUAAUCAGGGAGAAGUUGUGGUUAAGACUAAAAAAAAAAGGGGAAGGAUAGACAGAAAGGUGGGGUGUGAUGUUUUUAGGCAACAUAUAUAAAUUCAUGAAAACAACACUUGAGACAAACCAACUGCAGAGUCAAGACGAGGAAAUAACCAACUAGAGUUCAUACUUUAGGACGAAGGAUCUCAGCAUCGAAGGCCAACAUAAUGAAGAGCGUUCUUCUCCUCAUCCUCUCACUAACAGCAGGCUGUGAGGCCUCGUCUGAAGUGAAGGGAUGUGAAGGAGGAUGGGUUGAACUCACCUGCAAAUACCCAAGAGAAGAUCAGGAAUAUCAAAAGAUAGAGGUUAUUAAUCCCAGAGAAUCAAGCAUACAAACCACUACAAAGGAUGUGUGGGAUGGGGAUGACAGAUUUUCCCUGUACCAUGAUACAAGAAAUAAAAAUCUCAGGAUGGCCAUUAAACAACUUGAACAUGAUGACUUUGGGGAGUACGACUGUAAAUUUUACCAAAGACUUAAGUCAUCUCCUGAAACCCAGAAACUGGAACUGGAACUGGAAGUUGUGAAAGAUGGCUGCCAGACACCAUUUACUCAAAAUGCGUAUGAAACAGCUAAAACCACCAUCACAUGUGAUUUCCCUAAAAAGUACAACUCCUAUGUCAAGUUUAUCUGCAAAGACAACAAUGAAAUCUGUGAGGAGAUUUUAUCAACACAAUCUUCUGUAAAGUCAAACGGGACUUUCACUCUCACAGACACCAACAGCUUCAACAUGUCCAUCAGUAAUGUGAGCUCACAGCAUGCUGGUGUCUACUGGUGUGGAGUCAAAUCAAAUGAAGGAAGUUACAGAGUUUCACUCAGAAAAAUACAACUGCAGGUUAAAAGUAAGUAAUACAGAUUCAGCUCUCCUCUACUGGUUAGAGGCUUUUUCUGACUUUCAUUUUCUGUUUAUCAGUGAAACAUGACUCAACACAACAGGUGAUUUAAAAGAUGUUAACACAAAUUUAUACACAUUCAGAUGUUGUAUUGGCAGUUUGGCUGUCAUUUAAUAUUUAGUAAAAGGCAACUAUCAUAAAAAAACAAACACUGGGAAGUUUUCAGUGGAGGAUGACAGAGAGAGGAGAAAUAUCACCAUAACUGUGAGAAACGUAACAACAGACGACACCGGGACAUACUGGUGUGGAGCAGAAAACACUGACAAUAGACACAGUAAAACAUUCUUCAACAAACUGGAGAUGACUGUAGUGCCACGGACUCGCUCACCUGCUGAGAGGAAUGCCAUCAUCAUUACUGUCAUCUGUGUAGCUGUGCUGCUGCUUGUGCUGAUUUUGGUUCUUGUCUACACACGAUGUUCAAAAUACAAAACAAAUGAAGAGGGACUGGACAACGCCGAGGAUUUUGUCUAUGAGGAGCAGCCCCACAAGCCUGACUCGGGAACUGCACUGAAAACUAUUUAUGUCAGUGCCAAACAUCCCACCAACCCCUCUGCCUUUACGCAUUACUCCAACAUCAACCAUCCAACCAGCCCAGGGGAAGUUAGUGGUGACACAUAUUCUACUGUGAAGGACAAUGGUCAAUACUCUACUGUCAAUCACCCAUCCAGGUGUUCUGAAAACCCUCUCUACUCUACUGUCAACAAGCCACAGGAACACUGAGGAAAGUUUCCAGGCUGUGAGCUUUGCCAAGAUUUCAGUUCAUUCUUUUUUCUUUUCAAACCCAAACACAGACUUUUAAACUGUUUAAGAUUAAAUUGUUCAUCUUUGCUUGAUUUAUCAAGAUUUAUUCAGAGGACUUCUGCACUGAUGUACUCCAAGUUACCUGAUGUGCAACCAACAAUGCAGUUCAACACAUCCACCACAAACCACGACCUCAAAAAGGACUGAAACAACACCUCUGCUGUGAGGCCUCGUCUGAAGUGAAGGGAUGUGAAGGAGGAUGGGUUGAACUCACCUGCAAAUACCCAAGAGCAGAUCAGGAAUAUCAAAAGAUAGAGGUUAUUAAUCCCAGAG
Thunnus maccoyii (southern bluefin tuna) is the source of this 2359-nucleotide RNA transcript. It is a transcript of the gene named polymeric immunoglobulin receptor-like, with no coding region annotated. The transcript is spliced from 8 exons. NCBI's taxonomy places the organism in Eukaryota, Metazoa, Chordata, Actinopteri, Scombriformes, Scombridae. The record is from RefSeq and is a predicted model, not a curated record.